GGCUCAGGACGAACGCUGGCGGCGUGCUUAACACAUGCAAGUCGAACGGAAAGGCCCUUCGGGGUACUCGAGUGGCGAACGGGUGAGUAACACGUGGGUGAUCUGCCCUGCACUUUGGGAUAAGCCUGGGAAACUGGGUCUAAUACCGAAUAGGACCACGCGCUUCAUGGUGUGUGGUGGAAAGCUUUUGCGGUGUGGGAUGGGCCCGCGGCCUAUCAGCUUGUUGGUGGGGUAAUGGCCUACCAAGGCGACGACGGGUAGCCGGCCUGAGAGGGUGACCGGCCACACUGGGACUGAGAUACGGCCCAGACUCCUACGGGAGGCAGCAGUGGGGAAUAUUGCGCAAUGGGGGAAACCCUGACGCAGCAACGCCGCGUGAAGGAUGAAGGUUUUCGGAUCGUAAACUUCUUUGAUGAGGGACGAAAAAUGACGGUACCUCAAAAACAAGCCACGGCUAACUACGUGCCAGCAGCCGCGGUAAUACGUAGGUGGCGAGCGUUGUCCGGAAUUACUGGGCGUAAAGCGCGUGUAGGCGGUCCGAUAAGUCGAAUGUGAAGGCCCGAGGCUCAACUUCGGAAGUGCAUUCGAAACUGUCGGGCUUGAGUACGGGAGAGGGAAGUGGAAUUCCUGGUGUAGAGGUGAAAUUCGUAGAGAUCAGGAGGAACACCGGUGGCGAAGGCGGCUUCCUGGGCUGCAACUGACGCUGAGGCGCGAAAGCGUGGGGAGCAAACAGGAUUAGAUACCCUGGUAGUCCACGCUGUAAACGAUAAAAAAGUAGGUGUAGGGGAGGCAGGUUUUUUGUGCCGGAGCAAAACGCAAUAAAUAAUUCGCCUGGGGAGUACGGCCGCAAGGUUGAAACUCAAAAAAAUUGACGGGGGCCCGCACAAGCAGCGGAGCAUGUUGUUUUAUUCAAAGCAACGCGAAGAACCUUACCAGGGCUUGACAUCCCACUAAUCCGCUGGAAACAGUGGAGUGCCGCAAGGAAAGUGGAGACAGGUGGUGCAUGGUUGUCGUCAGCUCGUGUCGUGAGAUGUUGGGUUAAGUCCCGCAACGAGCGCAACCCUUGUCGUCAGUUACCAGCGCGUUAAGGCGGGGACUCUGACGAGACAGCCGGGGUAACUCGGAGGAAGGUGGGGACGACGUCAAAUCAUCAUGCUCCUUAUGUCCUGGGCUACAAACGUGCUACAAUGGCCGCAACAAAGGGCAGCGAGGGCGCAAGCCGGAGCAAAUCCCAUCAAAGCCGGUCUCAGUUCGGAUAGCAGGCUGAAACUCGCCUGCUCGAAGUCGGAAUCGCUAGUAACGGUAGGUCAGCUAUACUACCGCGA
This 1325-nucleotide ribosomal RNA is filed under the name uncultured bacterium. RNAcentral's name for it is "partial 16S ribosomal RNA". It matches the Rfam family "Bacterial small subunit ribosomal RNA", at positions 21 to 1365 of the family's 1533-position model. The record is from RNAcentral.